CGGGAAGUGGGCGUCGCCCGGCGGCAGAGCAACCCCGGGUGGGCGCGAAGUUGUAGGUGCCGAGAGGGAUAGCGUCUCGUGCCACUCUGAGCCGUCCACCUUCCUUAAGUCAUCGGAGGAGUUACCGACCAGGAGAACCGUAAGGCCCAAGAGAGGUGCACAGAACCUGGCUGACCGCAUCUUUUCAUCUGGGCCGCGCCCAAACCCUGUGCCCUCAAGAUGAGGAAGACAAAACCAGGUUCGGGGCGCAGGAGGCUGGGGACCCUCGUUAAGGCGCCCAUGUCCCCGCACGCCUUAGCUCCUUAGCUUUGCCUGAAGGGUAGGUGACGUCAGUCUUCCCUGGAAUGAGCUCCUUAUGCAGUCUUUUUCUACAGGGUAUAACUGGAACGCAAGAGGCCUGGUCACAAAAGCAGUCCCUUUUGGGACUGAGGAGAUAACCCAGCUGUCUUACUGCCUGCCAGCCUUUUCCAUUUAAACAACCAGCCUCCUGUGCUCAGUUCCUCAGAACGUUUGUGCUGUCUGAUCGAAUAUAGUGUUACCUCAUCCCAGAAUUACCUAUAAAAGCCUAGUAAGAUUUUUAAUGGUGUAAUUCUCUGUCCUUCGACAGAAACAAAAAUACAAUUAAGAUCAGCACUUGGAAGGCUGAGGCAGGAGAAUUGCCAUGAGUUAGAAACCAGCCUGAAUCACAAAGUAAGACUCUAUCUCAAAAAGCA
This is a long non-coding RNA of Octodon degus (degu), 713 nucleotides long. RefSeq lists it as uncharacterized. The record is from RefSeq and is a predicted model, not a curated record. The transcript has 3 exons. Lineage: Eukaryota; Metazoa; Chordata; Mammalia; Rodentia; Octodontidae.